GACGAACGCUGGCGGCGUGCUUAACACAUGCAAGUCGAACGGAAAGGCCCUGCUUUUGUGAGGUGCUCGAGUGGCGAACGGGUGAGUAACACGUGAGUAACCUGCCCUUGACUUUGGGAUAACUUCAGGAAACUGGGGCUAAUACCGGAUAGGAGCUCCUGCUGCAUGGUGGGGGUUGGAAAGUUUCGGCGGUUGGGGAUGGACUCGCGGCUUAUCAGCUUGUUGGUGGGGUAGUGGCUUACCAAGGCUUUGACGGGUAGCCGGCCUGAGAGGGUGACCGGCCACAUUGGGACUGAGAUACGGCCCAGACUCCUACGGGAGGCAGCAGUGGGGAAUAUUGCACAAUGGGCGGAAGCCUGAUGCAGCAACGCCGCGUGCGGGAUGACGGCCUUCGGGUUGUAAACCGCUUUCGCCUAUGACGAAGCGUGAGUGACGGUAAUGGGUAAAGAAGCACCGGCUAACUACGUG
This 468-nucleotide ribosomal RNA is filed under the name uncultured bacterium. Its description in RNAcentral is "partial 16S ribosomal RNA". It matches the Rfam family "Bacterial small subunit ribosomal RNA", at positions 28 to 507 of the family's 1533-position model. The record is from RNAcentral.